GGAUUAGAUACCCUGGUAGUCCACGCUGUAAACGAUGGAUACUAGCUGUUCGGAUUUCGGUCUGAGUGGCUAAGCGAAAGUGAUAAGUAUCCCACCUGGGGAGUACGUUCGCAAGAAUGAAACUCAAAGGAAUUGACGGGGGCCCGCACAAGCGGUGGAGCAUGUGGUUUAAUUCGAUGAUACGCGAGGAACCUUACCAGGGCUUAAAUGUAUUGUGACAGGGGUGGAAACACCUUUUUCUUCGGACACAUUACAAGGUGCUGCAUGGUUGUCGUCAGCUCGUGCCG
RNAcentral lists this ribosomal RNA (287 nucleotides) under uncultured bacterium. RNAcentral's name for it is "partial 16S ribosomal RNA". It matches the Rfam family "Bacterial small subunit ribosomal RNA", at positions 775 to 1067 of the family's 1533-position model. The record is from RNAcentral.